Non-coding RNA from Synechococcus sp. RS9917, 71 nucleotides. The record is from Rfam. NCBI's taxonomy places the organism in Bacteria, Bacillati, Cyanobacteriota, Cyanophyceae, Synechococcales, Synechococcaceae.
GCGGGCGUAGUUUAGUGGUAAAACCUCAGCCUUCCAAGCUGAUGAUGCGGGUUCGAUUCCCGCCGCCCGCU